CAUCAGGAGAUGGCAUUCCUCCGUUAACCGCCUUCCAGGCUGAUGAUGCCUACACAU
RNAcentral lists this non-coding RNA (57 nucleotides) under Klebsiella indica. RNAcentral's name for it is "Fluoride riboswitch". It matches the Rfam family "Fluoride riboswitch aptamer (crcB RNA motif)", at positions 6 to 62 of the family's 64-position model. The record is from RNAcentral. Lineage: Bacteria; Pseudomonadati; Pseudomonadota; Gammaproteobacteria; Enterobacterales; Enterobacteriaceae.